RNAcentral lists this ribosomal RNA (482 nucleotides) under uncultured Actinomycetes bacterium. Its description in RNAcentral is "bacterial SSU rRNA". It matches the Rfam family "Bacterial small subunit ribosomal RNA", at positions 355 to 851 of the family's 1533-position model. The record is from RNAcentral. Lineage: Bacteria; Bacillati; Actinomycetota; Actinomycetes.
UGGGGAAUAUUGCACAAUGGGCGAAAGCCUGAUGCAGCGACGCCGCGUGAGGGAUGAAGGCCUUCGGGUCGUAAACCUCUUUCAGCAGGGAAGAAGCGCAAGUGACGGUACCUGCAGAAGAAGCACCGGCUAACUACGUGCCAGCAGCCGCGGUAAUACGUAGGGUGCGAGCGUUGUCCGGAAUUAUUGGGCGUAAAGAGCUCGUAGGCGGCUUGUCGCGUCGGAUGUGAAGCCCGAGGCUUAACCUCGGGUCUGCAUUCGAUACGGGCAGGCUAGAGUGUGGUAGGGGAGAUCGGAAUUCCUGGUGUAGCGGUGAAUGCGCAGAUAUCAGGAGGAACACCGGUGGCGAAGGCGGAUCUCUGGCCAUUACUGACGCUGAGGAGCGAAAGCGUGGGGAGCGAACAGGAUUAGAUACCCUGGUAGUCCACGCCGUAAACAGUGGGAACUAGUGUUGGCGACAUUCCACGUCGUCGGUGCCGCAG